CCUACGGGUGGCUGCAGUGGGGAAUAUUGGACAAUGGGCGCAAGCCUGAUCCAGCCACGCCGCGUGAGUGAUGAAGGCCUUCGGGUCGUAAAGCUCUGUGGGGAGGGACGAACCGCUGUCGGUUAAUACCCGGCAGCAUGACGGUACCUCCUUAGCAAGCACCGGCUAACUUCGUGCCAGCAGCCGCGGUAAUACGAAGGGUGCAAACGUUGCUCGGAAUUAUGGGCGGAAAGCGUAGGUAGGCGGCUGUGAAAGCCCUCGGCUUAACCAAGGAAGUGCAUCCAAAACUGCUGAGCUUGAGUAGUUAAGAGGAUCGCGGAAUUCCCGGUGUAGAGGUGAAAUUCGUAGAUAUCGGGAGGAACACCAGUGGCGAAGGCGGCGAUCUGGGAACAUACUGACGCUGAGGUGCGAAAGCGUGGGGAGCAAACAGGAUUAGAUACCCCUGUAGUC
Molecule: ribosomal RNA, 450 nt
Filed under: uncultured bacterium
Lineage: Bacteria
Description: partial 16S ribosomal RNA
Rfam family: Bacterial small subunit ribosomal RNA
Source: RNAcentral